AGCUGCGCAGCGCCCUUCAGCAAAGCGGGAGGAGGAACAGAAGGGUCUCCGUUCCUCCUCCCGCUUCGCUGAAGGGGCGCUGCGCAGCU
Molecule: non-coding RNA, 89 nt
Organism: Podarcis lilfordi (Lilford's wall lizard)
Lineage: Eukaryota; Metazoa; Chordata; Lepidosauria; Squamata; Lacertidae
Source: the annotation of a GenBank genome assembly